RNAcentral lists this ribosomal RNA (556 nucleotides) under Neofusicoccum parvum. Its description in RNAcentral is "eukaryotic LSU rRNA". The stretch from base 185 to 338 matches the Rfam family "5.8S ribosomal RNA". The record is from RNAcentral. Lineage: Eukaryota; Fungi; Ascomycota; Dothideomycetes; Botryosphaeriales; Botryosphaeriaceae.
GAGUGUAACGGAGCUGAUCGAGCUCGGCUCGACUCUCCCACCCAAUGUGUACCUACCUCUGUUGCUUUGGCGGGCCGCGGUCCUCCGCACCGGCGCCCUUCGGGGGGCUGGCCAGCGCCCGCCAGAGGACCAUAAAACUCCAGUCAGUGAACUUCGCAGUCUGAAAAACAAGUUAAUAAACUAAAACUUUCAACAACGGAUCUCUUGGUUCUGGCAUCGAUGAAGAACGCAGCGAAAUGCGAUAAGUAAUGUGAAUUGCAGAAUUCAGUGAAUCAUCGAAUCUUUGAACGCACAUUGCGCCCCUUGGUAUUCCGAGGGGCAUGCCUGUUCGAGCGUCAUUUCAACCCUCAAGCUCUGCUUGGUGUUGGGCCCCGUCCUCCACGGACGCGCCUUAAAGACCUCGGCGGUGGCGUCUUGCCUCAAGCGUAGUAGAAAACACCUCGCUUUGGAGCGCACGGCGUCGCCCGCCGGACGAACCUUUGAAUUAUUUCUCAAGGUUGACCUCGGAUCAGGUAGGGAUACCCGCUGAACUUAAGCAUAUCAAUAAGCGGAGGAA